CUGAAAUCUAAAAAACCCUGUAAUUUCACAACCACUUUGGAAAGACAUAAAGCAGGUUCUGCUGACAAAGCAGCCAGUCCCUGUCUCCUCUCUUCAAGUAUUCGUUCUUUCUAGUGGCACCCCACAUUUCUACUGGCACAAAUGGUAUUCGUGUAGCUACAUGCCAAAGCUUCUGAAGGUUAUACCAGCUUAAAGUGUUGUGGUUUAAGCCCAGAAGGCAGCUCAGUAUCACACAGCUGCUCACUCACCCUCCUCAGCCCUCUUCAGGUUCUCUUUGUCUUUGUUCAAACAAACAAUCCCCAGAGAAGAUUUACAAGAGGUCUAAGGUGGAGAGAUGUUCUCAACAUCAAUGAUAAUGGGAAGACUUACAGCAGUUGUGAGUCUCAUUAUCACUACAUAUAUUUGAGGUAGAAUCUGAUAUAGAAUGUGUUUCUAUUUAAAAUUUUCUAAACCAAUUUUCUAAAGAGCAGCAGCUACUUUUACCUACAAUUUGUCUGAGAUUUCAAGAUCCCUUGAUCACAGCCAAAAGACUUGUCGUUCUUGCUUUAGAGUGGGAAUCACUGUUGUUUUCAUAGUAGUUCUUCAGCUGGCAGAGAAAGGCAAAAAAAGAAGUCAAGAGAUGGAAGAUGCAGCUAAACAAUUGGACUAGGAAUACACAGACUGAAAAGGAAGAGUUGGCUGGUAUACAUUUUUUAUUUCUUCAGACAAAGGUUGGUCUUCUGAUUUGAUUUCUUCAGAUCAGGGUUGGAUGCCCUUUCUUGAAGAUCGAUUUUACUCAAAUACAAAGUUAUUGACCUCAGCAAAACAAUAUGUGGAUGCAAACCUAGUUUAAAUGAGCAACAUACAGCUGCAAUCGCCUCACAUAAACAACGAGAGUAACUACACACAUCAGGUCUAGCACAUAAGCUUUCUGCCCUUCUCCUAUUCUGACUUUUCUUUGAGAAACCUGACCUGAGGUGUUACUGAAUGAAUGAAAUACUUUAUGUCUUGUGCUUAUGACUGGUGUCAUAAAUGAAAUCUGCCAAAAAAAAAAAAAAAAAAAAAAGAUAUUUUUUCUCCAAACUUAAAAUUUACCCAUCUAUAAUUAUCAUUAACUUUUCUAACUCUACAUAGAAGCAAAUAUUAUAUUCAAUCAAAACAAUACCAUGUGCUUCAUCUAAUAUGAAAUGCACAAUUUUAGUGUUGUUUAAAAUGCUGGAACACUCCUG
This 1208-nucleotide long non-coding RNA is filed under the name Anas platyrhynchos platyrhynchos (common mallard). Its description in RNAcentral is "lncRNA (ENSAPLG00000017674.1)". Lineage: Eukaryota; Metazoa; Chordata; Aves; Anseriformes; Anatidae. The record is from RNAcentral.